CGUUGUCAAAGGAGACUUUAAUAAUAUAUGCCAUUUAGCAGACUGGGUACAUGGUAGUGGAAACAGAUCAUCGAAACAGGAUUACAAUGUUGAUAUCAUGGAUGGUCAGUCCUUGCAUCUAUAGCUCUGUCUAUGAAUUUGAGAGUGGUUAUAUUUCUCCAGGCCCAUCCCUCAGCUUUUUUACCAGAAGAGGAGCAGGGAGGCACUUUGUUAUUGUUUCUGCUGCUGAUUGCCACUUUAAGAAGUUAAGAUGCAGAUUAAAUACACACCAAAAUAUGUUACAGAUACUAUAAAAAUGUCCCAUCACUCAGACAGGUAGUGAAUACACAGCAUCCAGCACAGCAAACAAACAAAUAUAUUUUACAAAAGCCCAUUUUACAUCAAAAUAAUAACCACAGAGUUUAUAGAGGGUGCAACAGUUCAUAGGUGAGCAUGCCUGUCCCAUUAAACCCCUACAACUCAUCCAGAACGCCGCAGCCCGUCUGGUGUUCAACCUUCCCAAGUUCUCUCACGUCACCCCGCUCCUCCGCACACUCCACUGGCUUCCAGUUGAAGCUCGCAUCUGCUACAAGACCAUGGUGCUUGCCUAUGGAGCUGUGAGGGGAACGGCACCUCCGUACCUUCAGGCUCUGAUCAGGCCUUACACCCAAACAAGGGCACUGCGUUCAUCCACCUCUGGCCUGCUGGCCCCUCUACCUCUGCAUAAGCACAGUUCCCGCUCAGCCCAGUCAAAACUGUUCGCUGCUCUGGCACCCCAAUGGUGGAACAAGCUCCCUCACGACGCCAGGACAGCGGAGUCAAUCACCACCUUCAGUAGACACCUGAAACCCCACCUCUUUAAGGAAUACCUGGGAUAGGAUAAAGUAAUCCUUCUAACCCCCCCCCAAAAAAAAAAAUAUAUAUAGAUGUUAUAUUGUAAAGUGGUUGUUCCACUGGAUAUCAGAAGGUGAAUGCACCAAUUUGUAAGUCGCUCUGGAUAAGAGCGUCUGCUAAAUGACGUAAAUGUAAACGAUAGGUUGACAGAGUUGAAACAGCAGAACCAGGACAUGGUAGCACAUCCAUUGAAACUGGUUAAAAAAAAAACAGUGGAAAAACAAUUUCACUCUGAUUCCUUUUAUGGAUGGGUGUAUCUUUGAAUUUGCUGUUGAAUGGCCUGCUCCUUCUCCAUUUUUGGAACACCAUCCCGCUCCCCCAAAGUGAUCGAUAGUAUAUCUCGGCUCGCACUGUGAUGAUUGUGAUUGAGCUCUCAGGUUCAUACAGCGAGUUCUGGUCUUCACUGAUCUCAUUCUCCAUCAGCUCCAUCUGGGGCGUAUCGGGGCAGGACUCGGUUGUAUACUGAUGGUCGUGAGCGCAAUCUAGCUGGGCCCUGGUCCCGGUGGACCUCUUCUCCACCGCAGCACAGGAACACUCUGGCACCCAGGGGUCAGUUUGGCAUGCUGUACUAACUGUUCUUUCCUGUCGGUAGAAAACAAUUAAGGCAUCUAUUAGGCUAUAGUUAUAUUCAAGAAUCACAGCAUAUACCUGAAAUAAACAGCCUUAGAAAUAACAUGGAUUUGUAUGCACAAAUGAAAACA
This 1574-nucleotide long non-coding RNA is filed under the name Salmo salar (Atlantic salmon). Its description in RNAcentral is "lncRNA (ENSSSAG00000093549.1)". The stretch from base 950 to 1003 matches the Rfam family "UnaL2 LINE 3' element". The record is from RNAcentral. Lineage: Eukaryota; Metazoa; Chordata; Actinopteri; Salmoniformes; Salmonidae.